RNAcentral lists this ribosomal RNA (442 nucleotides) under uncultured Bacillota bacterium. RNAcentral's name for it is "bacterial SSU rRNA". It matches the Rfam family "Bacterial small subunit ribosomal RNA", at positions 917 to 1359 of the family's 1533-position model. The record is from RNAcentral. Lineage: Bacteria; Bacillati; Bacillota.
GGGCCCGCACAAGCGGUGGAGCAUGUGGUUUAAUUCGAAGCAACGCGAAGAACCUUACCAGGUCUUGACAUCCAGUGACAACUCUAGAGAUAGAGCUUUCCCUUCGGGGACACUGAGACAGGUGGUGCAUGGUUGUCGUCAGCUCGUGUCGUGAGAUGUUGGGUUAAGUCCCGCAACGAGCGCAACCCUUAUUACUAGUUGCCAGCAUUAAGUUGGGCACUCUAGUGAGACUGCCGGUGACAAACCGGAGGAAGGUGGGGAUGACGUCAAAUCAUCAUGCCCCUUAUGACCUGGGCUACACACGUGCUACAAUGGACGGUACAACGAGUUGCGAACUCGCGAGAGCAAGCUAAUCUACUAAAAACCGUUCUCAGUUCGGAUUGUAGGCUGCAACUCGCCUACAUGAAGCUGGAAUCGCUAGUAAUCGUGGAUCAGCAUGCCA